CCUUUUUGUAAAAUAGAAAAUUAAAAUAAAUUUUAGAUCUACUUGAAGUCAGACAUUCUUUCCGCAAGAGAGAAUGCUCUCAGUAUCUGAGAUAGCAACCAAGCCCCAGUAUUUGGUUCAGUGGUUGCUAAAGCAGAAAAGAUUGAAGGAAGCUGAUUUUUUUUAAACCCUCCAAAGGGGAUCUGAAAGUGUCUCUGUGUCAAUGAGGAUAAUAUCUACAUUACUUAAGCCUCAAAUGAAUGAUUGUCUCUACAAUGGUCAGCCCCCAUGCCUGGAAUGUUCUUUCUUCUGGUCUGCCCCUUCUGGCUUCCUUCAAGACUUUGCACUAGCUCCACCUCCCCGAAGAAAUCCUUUCUGAUGAAACCUCCUACCCUUUCCAAAGCUCUAGUGUGUUCCCUCUGAGAUUCUCUCCCAUUUACAAAGUUUAUUUGUUCAUUUGUUUGGUUGUUCAUUUGUUUGUUUAUCUCCAUAAUUGUUUCCAUGUGUUCCCCUGAUACCUCCCAUUUGCCUCUUCCUUAUGUCUUCAGCAUUUAGGGCAGUGCCAAG
This is a non-coding RNA of Phascolarctos cinereus (koala), 546 nucleotides long. The record is from RefSeq and is a predicted model, not a curated record. Lineage: Eukaryota; Metazoa; Chordata; Mammalia; Diprotodontia; Phascolarctidae.